AUGCAGGAAGAGAUGCAGUCACUUGAGAAAAAUGGCACAUGGGAUGUUGUGAGCUUGCCUAAACAUAAGAAGACCGUUCGCUGCAAAUGGAUCUUCAAAAGAAAUGAGGGUUUUUCUCCUAGUGAGCUCGCGAGGUUUAAGGCAAGGUUAGUAGCUAAGGGUUUCAGCCAGAUACCAGGUAUUGAUUAUAAUGAUGUGUUCUCUCCAGUUGUGAAGCAUAGUUCCAUUCGUGCAUUUUUUGGUAUUGUUGCUAUGCACGAUCUUGAGCUUGAGCAGUUAGAUGUCAAGACUGCUUUUCUGCAUGGUGAACUGGACGAGGAGAUUUACAUGGACCAACCAGAAGGUUUCAUUGUGCCUGGUAAGGAGAAAUUUGUUUGCAAGUUAAAGAGGUCCCUAUAUGGUUUGAAACAGUCUCCGAGACAGUGGUAUAAAAGGGCAAGAAAGAAAUCACUACUUUAA
This 459-nucleotide ribosomal RNA is filed under the name Triticum aestivum (bread wheat). RNAcentral describes it as "partial small subunit ribosomal RNA". Lineage: Eukaryota; Viridiplantae; Streptophyta; Magnoliopsida; Poales; Poaceae. The record is from RNAcentral.